Molecule: non-coding RNA, 465 nt
Organism: Arachis ipaensis
Lineage: Eukaryota; Viridiplantae; Streptophyta; Magnoliopsida; Fabales; Fabaceae
Source: RefSeq, a predicted model, not a curated record
UUUGUUUGUCAGUACUUUGUACACAUCCAUCCCUCUCUAUUUCUCUCUCUCUUUCUCCAUCAUAUUUCAUGUCAGAAUAUAUUCAUCAGAAAAUCCUUCAGGAAUCAGGAAAACUCUGAGUUCUUUUGAUUUUCCGAUACAUUUGAGAAACAGUGUUGUUUUUGUGAAGAUCAGAGUAAGCUAAUAAGCUACCUUUUCAUGAGGUGAUUUGGCUUGUGAUUGAUUCUGUGAUGAUGAAGAAGGGCCUACUAUUCUUGAGGCAUCAUGAUGAUCAUGUUGAAGUACCCUUGAGGUUUGGUGAAAUCUGAUUGGCCAUGAAGGGAACAUUUCUAGUGUAGCUGCAGGUCUGGGUGCUGUUGUGAAUAAAGCUGCAAGAAUCACAAAAGUAAAAUCUGAGAGGAUCACCAAACCAUAAAGGACUGUUGAAGCCUAUACCAAAAUAAAUAAUAUCAUAGAAAAAGAGAA